RNAcentral lists this long non-coding RNA (529 nucleotides) under Phoenix dactylifera (date palm). Its description in RNAcentral is "long non-coding RNA (PDAC_LNC015294)". The record is from RNAcentral. Lineage: Eukaryota; Viridiplantae; Streptophyta; Magnoliopsida; Arecales; Arecaceae.
CCAAACCCCAUGCCGGUCCUGUUUUCUCACAGGGACGGGACUGGACAAGUGGAUGACCGGGAUGUCUCCCAUCUUGUAGGGACUUAAAACCUUGGUUUUGAUUAAUUUUGGCAGCCACCCUCCUUAAAAAAAAAAUCUAUAGUUCUUAUUCUAAAAAUUCAGGCUAGGGUUUCUGCCCGAACACACUCAAAUGGGCUUUUGGGCUAGUUCGUGGAAUGGGCCUCAGCCUAUAGAAAGGCCGCCUUCCAAGUUCUUGAAGAGUAUGUGAACAUUGAUUACAAUUCACCAUUGAGUACAAAAAUAACAUGCUUCUUUUUUAUAUAAAAUUGUAUAAUGUCCUAUAAAUCUAAUUGAAUAUUCACAUAACCUCCAGAAUAUGAAAAAGAUAUGCCCAAAUUCAAGAUGUUAGUCAUUUCUACUCAAAUUUUUUUUAACUUAAUAAAGUUUUGAACAAUUGAAGUUCAGUGACAGAGAGAUAGAGAGAGAGAGAGAGAGACUAUUGUUAGGAUAGUUAAAUGAGUUUUUCUUA